UUUUUGUCUGUAGUCAUUCCUGAUCGUAUCUGAUCCUUCUAUCGCUAAGCAUAUAUUGAAGGACAACUCAAAAGCUUAUUCCAAGGGGAUUUUAGCUGAAAUUCUCGAUUUUGUCAUGGGAAAAGGACUCAUACCUGCUGAUGGCGAAAUAUGGCGUGUAAGAAGGCGGGCUAUAGUCCCUGCAUUACAUCAGAAGUAUGUAGCAGCUAUGAUCAACUUGUUUGGA
Tarenaya hassleriana is the source of this 226-nucleotide long non-coding RNA. RefSeq lists it as uncharacterized. The record is from RefSeq and is a predicted model, not a curated record. Lineage: Eukaryota; Viridiplantae; Streptophyta; Magnoliopsida; Brassicales; Cleomaceae. The transcript has 3 exons.